GUCGUUGCUUUAUCUGGAGUAACCGAAUUGUUGAAGGCCGUACGGUGACCUAUAAUUGUUAAUGUCUGUGUUAGUUUGGUCUUUUGUGGAUAGUUGUCUCAUUGGCAAUCAUACCACAUCUUCUUUUUUAUAUUGUAUCUGGAACUUCUUUAAAAGCCGUAUUGUUUAUAUUGAAUCUUUCUCAAAAUUGUAAACAUAUAAUGUCAUGG
RNAcentral lists this long non-coding RNA (209 nucleotides) under Mytilus galloprovincialis (Mediterranean mussel). Lineage: Eukaryota; Metazoa; Mollusca; Bivalvia; Mytilida; Mytilidae. The record is from RNAcentral.